CUUGUUUUUGGCGGGACAUGACCCGAGAGCCCUAUUAAAUUAAAUAGCCCACUUUUUUACAUGGCAUUAGUGCUUAAACUGUUACAGCAUUUCUUUCAAGAAUAAUCUUCAGCGAUGGAGUGAUACGGCCUUGUUCGGAGUCAUUGCUGAGCUGCUAUCAGCAAACACCACGCUUGACCUUUGCCCCCACUCGGCGUUACAGCAGCUGUACGGCCUGCGGUAGCCUCUAAACCACUGGGCUUGCACUGCCGGUAAAUGCUGUCCAGCUCUCUGACCAGUCAUCACUCAUUAUACACCAACAAGCUUGCCUGACAGAGCCGAGCCCAGAUGGAAUGUAACCUCUGCAUAUAAUUGCCGCUUAUGAGCAAAAUUUACAGAAAUGGGAGGAUCUGAGUGACUGCCUUUUAUUGUUUUGUUUUGAUUGUAAGAGCUCAUGUCUGGGUUGUAUUAAUUUCAGACAAAUGUUUUCAUUCAACAACUAUAAUUUGCUUCAAUGCCAAUAUGUAUUUACUGCCUAUUAGGGAUUGGACUGUAAACGUUUUUUUUAUUAUCAUUUAUUACAAUAAAAAACAAUCACAAUGAGUUCAUUGUGAUGACUUAUUUUGAACUGCUACAAGAGGGAUCAGCCUGCCCAUUGUAUCCCCCACAAAUAAAGUAAAAUCGGA
Centropristis striata (black sea bass) is the source of this 665-nucleotide long non-coding RNA. RefSeq lists it as uncharacterized. The transcript is spliced from 3 exons. The record is from RefSeq and is a predicted model, not a curated record. NCBI's taxonomy places the organism in Eukaryota, Metazoa, Chordata, Actinopteri, Perciformes, Serranidae.